CUUUUCCGGAUCUAGAAGAGCAGGAGUGGAGUGAUGGAUACUCCUGUCUCAUCGAAAUACAGGCGUGGAGGCGGUCCACCUGCGUCCGUACGAAUCAGUCGGAACUCUGCCUGUUUUUGAUGCGAACGAAUUGAGCAGAACUUGCUUGGUGUAGAUAAUGGUUGAGAAGACCCACUUCUAUUUCUCCUGAACCUAACACAAUACUGGCACAGCGUUGGUGGUCAGUGAACAUUAAUUGGAUGGAUAGGGUUCUCCAGGCUAAAGUCCUGGUGGAGUGCUCAAGACCAGAACACUGGGAGAAACCCUCUGAACUCCUGGCCACACUCCUGUCCACAGUGCAGUACCUGAUGCGAAGAGGCGACUCGGUGGAA
Long non-coding RNA from Capra hircus (goat), 371 nucleotides. RefSeq lists it as uncharacterized. The transcript is spliced from 4 exons. Lineage: Eukaryota; Metazoa; Chordata; Mammalia; Artiodactyla; Bovidae. The record is from RefSeq and is a predicted model, not a curated record.